This 468-nucleotide ribosomal RNA is filed under the name uncultured bacterium. RNAcentral's name for it is "partial 16S ribosomal RNA". It matches the Rfam family "Bacterial small subunit ribosomal RNA", at positions 28 to 507 of the family's 1533-position model. The record is from RNAcentral.
GACGAACGCUGGCGGCGUGCUUAACACAUGCAAGUCGAACGGAAGGGCCCUGCUUUUGUGGGGUGCUCGAGUGGCGAACGGGUGAGUAACACGUGAGUAACCUGCCCUUGACUUUGGGAUAACUUCAGGAAACUGGGGCUAAUACCGGAUAGGAGCUCCUGCUGCAUGGUGGGGGUUGGAAAGUUUCGGCGGUUGGGGAUGGACUCGCGGCUUAUCGGCUUGUUGGUGGGGUAGUGGCUUACCAAGGCUUUGACGGGUAGCCGGCCUGAGAGGGUGACCGGCCACAUUGGGACUGAGAUACGGCCCAGACUCCUACGGGAGGCAGCAGUGGGGAAUAUUGCACAAUGGGCGGAAGCCUGAUGCAGCAACGCCGCGUGCGGGAUGACGGCCUUCGGGUUGUAAACCGCUUUCGCCUGUGACGAAGCGUGAGUGACGGUAAUGGGUAAAGAAGCACCGGCUAACUACGUG